UUCCUUCCUCCUAUGACAGUGUCAAGCCUGUGACUGUGUUUCAGGGAAGACAGGUGCAAGCUGAUGGCUCCCCAUAUCUAGAAGCUGCUGAUUUGAAAAACACUCUAGUCAAGAAAAAUGUAGCUUUCUAUUAGCAAAGCAGCCACACAGACCAUCCAUACUCUCAGAGAAGAGCUAAUUUUCUGGCUGUGGUCACAGGCAAUCAAAACUAUCAUAUUGAUCCUCAAGAGCGAUUCCUAAUUAGCUACAGAGUAAUCUCCUAGAUUUCCCCAAGGCCAGAGUGCCUGACCGUGGCAUUAGUGGGCUGGACAGAACCACUAGCCCUGACCCCAGGCCCCUGUGCCACGUACCACGGAGGAAUUGGACCAGGAUGAGUAAACACUCUGGGAACUUCUGUGCACACACGACAAGCUGCAGACAAAACUCCUCAGACACGGAGUCAAAGAAGGAAGAGGUUUAUUCGGCCGGGAGCAUCGGCAGGACUCCUGUCUCAAGAGCCAAGCUCCCCAGACCCACUAAUGGACUAAGUAAUGUUUCUGUUGGUGACUCUAAGCAAGGAAAACAAAUAAGGCAAAGAAGGAGGUAAAAGAGACAAGUAAGACAUCUGAGAACCUGCAAUGACUCUUGGGAAGACAUCAAAGCAGAAAAAGAAAGAAGUGGCAAGUGACAAAAGAGAUGUUUUUGACCUUCGUGGAGAAGAAGUUUGGUGGUGGGGCAGGAGCAGAAGUUAGAACUCGGGAUUUCUUUGUUCACCUUGGCUGCGAAGCCACCCAUAUAUGACCAGUGUUGAAACUCAUUGCACCAGGCCAACCAAUUAGUCUGUAUUGGCCCCAUAAACUUUGAGCUGACAAGUAUCAAGUGAAAGGUUCUUGAGAAUAAGACUGAAAAAUCCUUCUUACUUCCCCCUACAAAAAAAAUUCUCCAGCCCCAGAAUGUUAUUCCUUCCCAAGAAACACAAAUUAACUAGCUGCACUAAUGACCUCCAGACCAACACAAACCCAUUUCCCCUUGAAAUUAACCUUCUAUUCUGAAUCUAAACAGUGUCUAAUUAGCCCCAAACACUGGUGAGCUAACUGGAAGAGAAGAAUGUAGGAAAUCAAAACAAGGGGAUAGUUUUACGGUUGGAAAAAAAAAAAUAGCGAAAAGCCAUCCUCCAAUUAUCCUAUCCUUCUAACCUCCGCCCCCAGAUCCUUAUCCUGCAUCUUCAUUUGUCUUCCUUUCCGUAAACCUUGUAAAGGAGUCUGCUUUUCAGACAAAUAUUUUUCCCAGCUCAUUUGACACCUAGAAGGCAGGAAAAAUAUUGCCCAUCACGAUAAAUAUAAUAUUCCAAUUUUCCAGCAUUUGACAGCAAUCAAGGGAAGAGUAAUGUGUUCCCUCUGUGACUAAAUCAUUUAGAGACCAAGGUAUUCUGUCUCAUUCUCAUUAGGAAAAAAAAAUAUUCCAAUAAUCUCAUUAUCCCAGUGUGAAUAACAGUAAAAAAGCACCAAGACUAAUGACUUCUUCCGCGCUUGCCUCCGCAGAUACCAGCCCAGGCCGUGCUUUUAUAGGCAAUGCUUGGGUAAUGGAGUCUCCCUUAGCAGCGAUCCUGUAGCAUCUGCUGCUCUGAAAGCCCUGCCUAACACAUUCUGCUUUGUCUGCAGCAAGGUUUACACACACCCCUGGACUCCAAAGACUCUUUUUUAUGUACUUUUUAAAAAACUAACUCCAAUGGAAAAAGAAUGUGUCAUGGCAUGUUAAACUUUAUGGAAAUUCUUCUGGAGAAUAACAUAAUUUCACGGUGCAUUACUCUGAAAUGACCUAGUACUUGAACAAUUAAUUUUUAAGGUGUAGCAUUGACUUCCCCUUGCUGUAUUUAACCCAUAUCUGAAAUUGUCAACAAUGCCAAGGGUUGGACAAUGAGUUGGGAGAAGAGCAGGAGCCUGAAAAUUACUCCCUAUCUACUAUGUUUUCUUUUAUCAGACAUAAUGCUUCCCUCUUUGGUUCAAAAAUGAAAAGAGAAGGGAGCAGGUACUUUAGUUAGGGACACUUCAUAGGCAGCACAGCCUGGCAGGUAAAUAGUGCAGUCCUGGAGACAUAAACUCGACGUCUUACCUUUGUCAUUAAUUUACUGUGUAGCCUUAGAGAAACUCCUUUUUCUCUCUGUAGCUAAAAUGGGGGAAGGAGAGGUUUUGUUUGUUAUGCCCCCAAAAGGAAUUCAGUGAUAGAAAAUGAAUAGAUGUAUAAUAUAUCCUCUGAUUCCUUGAAAUAAAAGCU
Molecule: long non-coding RNA, 2253 nt
Filed under: Homo sapiens (human)
Lineage: Eukaryota; Metazoa; Chordata; Mammalia; Primates; Hominidae
Description: HSALNT0297858
Source: RNAcentral